GAAUCUUGCGCAAUGGGCGAAAGCCUGACGCAGCAACGCCGCGUGGGGGAUGAAGGCCUUCGGGUUGUAAACCCCUUUCAGGCGGGAAGAAAUUGACGGUACCUCCAAAAGAAGCCCCGGCCAACUACGUCCCAGCAGCCGCGGUAAUCCGAAGGGGGCGAGCGUUAUCCGGAAUCAUUGGGCGUAAAGAGCUCGUAGGCGGUUCAGCAAGUCGGCUGUGAAAGUCUGAGGCUCAACCUCAGAAUUGCAGUCGAUACUGCUGUGACUCGAGUCCGGUAGAGGAGAACGGAAGUCCCGGUGUAGCGGUGAAAUGCGCAGAUAUCGGGAGGAACACCAGUAGCGAAGGCGGUUCUCUGGGCCGGCACUGACGCUGAGGAGCGAAAGCGUGGGGAGCAAACAGG
Molecule: ribosomal RNA, 401 nt
Filed under: uncultured bacterium
Lineage: Bacteria
Description: bacterial SSU rRNA
Rfam family: Bacterial small subunit ribosomal RNA
Source: RNAcentral